This 157-nucleotide long non-coding RNA is filed under the name Callithrix jacchus (white-tufted-ear marmoset). Its description in RNAcentral is "lncRNA (ENSCJAG00000061925.2)". Lineage: Eukaryota; Metazoa; Chordata; Mammalia; Primates; Cebidae. The record is from RNAcentral.
AGUGUGAGAGAAAGACAAGAAAUAAGGAAGACUUCAAGAUUUUUGGUCUGAGCCCUUUGAAGGAUGUAUUGCCAUUGACCAGGAUGGAGAAGGCUGUAGAUGGAAGUGGGUUUUGGAGUAGAAGUUUUGUUGCAUAGGUGCCAAAGAAAUAAUGGGG